RNAcentral lists this ribosomal RNA (329 nucleotides) under uncultured bacterium. RNAcentral's name for it is "bacterial SSU rRNA". It matches the Rfam family "Bacterial small subunit ribosomal RNA", at positions 28 to 355 of the family's 1533-position model. The record is from RNAcentral.
GACGAACGCUGGCGGCGUGCUUAACACAUGCAAGUCGAGCGGUAAGGCCCUUUCGGGGGUACGACGAGCGGCGAACGGGUAGAGUAACACGUGGGUGACCUGCCCUUAGCUCUGGGAUAAGCCUGGGAAACGUGGGUCUAAUACCGGAUAUGACUCCAUGACGCAUGUUGUGGGGUGGAAAGCCUUGUGCGGCUAGGGAUGGGCCCGCGGCCUAUCAGCUUGUUGGUGGGGUGAUGGCCUACCAAGGCGACGACGGGUAGCCGGCCUGAGAGGGCGACCGGCCACACUGGGACUGAGACACGGCCCAGACUCCUACGGGAGGCAGCAGU